Molecule: ribosomal RNA, 489 nt
Filed under: uncultured bacterium
Lineage: Bacteria
Description: bacterial SSU rRNA
Rfam family: Bacterial small subunit ribosomal RNA
Source: RNAcentral
UCAGUUGUGAAAGUUUGCGGCUCAACCGUAAAAUUGCAGUUGAUACUGGAUGUCUUGAGUGCAGUUGAGGCAGGCGGAAUUCGUGGUGUAGCGGUGAAAUGCUUAGAUAUCACGAAGAACUCCGAUUGCGAAGGCAGCCUGCUAAGCUGCAACUGACAUUGAGGCUCGAAAGUGUGGGUAUCAAACAGGAUUAGAUACCCUGGUAGUCCACACGGUAAACGAUGAAUACUCGCUGUUUGCGAUAUACGGCAAGCGGCCAAGCGAAAGCGUUAAGUAUUCCACCUGGGGAGUACGCCGGCAACGGUGAAACUCAAAGGAAUUGACGGGGGCCCGCACAAGCGGAGGAACAUGUGGUUUAAUUCGAUGAUACGCGAGGAACCUUACCCGGGCUUAAAUUGCACUCGAAUGAUCCGGAAACGGUUCAGCCAGCAAUAGCGAGUGUGAAGGUGCUGCAUGGUUGUCGUCAGCUCGUGCCGUGAGGUGUCGGCU